AAAUAGUGAGGAAGGGCCUGGGCUCUGUCCUUAAUAAGGAAUCCAAAUGACCCGCCCCUUGACCCGCCCUAGGGUCGGUGUCCAAUCCCCAGAGCUCUUCCCAAGAUAAUUCGUUCCAAGUCAUUAUCUGCUCUGAGUUGAAUCCUUUCAUGCCAAACGUAAUCAUCUGAUUAGUUUAGCCUUUCUGAUGCCCGGGAAUCAAACACUGUCUUCCCGCUUAAUUCAAAGGAGGUUGGAGCAGAUCUACUGGGUGUGAACCAGGGCAGUCCUUGAGGGACGGAGGUGCAGGGAGGCUCCAAAUGGGCUCCCUAGAUUUGCACAGGUGUCGACAGCCACCCAAUGACCACACAGUGUAUUCCAACAAGACUGGGUUUGUUUGGUGUGCUGCAUCAAGGGAAAGCAAAUAACACAGGAAAAUAAGCAUGUCAUAGGGAGCUGAUUUUAGGAGUUGACCAGGGGAGUCUAAGGAGUGUUUAGGGAGUAGGGGCUGGUUUUCCAAAACGGGGCCAUUUGGUGAUGAUCCUGGCCACUUUAUCUGGGAGGUAGGGGAAUUAAUGUGAUCUUGAUUGCAGACUGUUGAAUCUCUCUGGUUUCAAACAUAGAGUAAACUUUCUACAUCUUCUUGCAUGACCAUCACUGAGCCAUCUUGACUGGUUAAGAUAUUUUGCAGGAGUUCUUUAUGUUUGAUAGGGAAGAUUCAACCAUGCCUGUCAGCUCCCAACUGCAAGUUCCUUGGUGCUUUUACACUUAUCAUCCUCCCCUUUGACCAAAGGCAAGGUCAGCCAUCAGGACUCUCAUCUGUGAGCUUCAGAUCUAACCAUUGUCAGAAUCCACUGAUCAUCAGUUUAUCGGGACAUCGCCUGCAUCUACCUACAGUUGGUCUCUCAUGUACAUUUUGUUGCAAAAUAUAAUAGUGAACGUAACCACACAGUAGCAUUUAAGACUGUACAGGGUGCACUAGUCAGAUACAAUACCAGCAAUUACUGGAAAAAAUGACUAUUAAUCCUAUUAAUAGGCUGCAAAGACCAAAGCCUAGAUUUCAAAUCCAGGCCAUGAAAUCAUGUCCGAAAUCCAUCUAAAUCUGGUCUAGAGAGCCAGGUAGAUUUGAGACUUCCGGGAGAAAUCAGAAAACCUCCCAAUUUCCAGAGUUCUCUGAUAUUUGGAACAACUCAAUCACAUAUCUACUGCCUAUACAAAUAUUUGGUUUUACCAGGCCCCUCCAUCACACAGAAAUAUUUCAUUUUUUCAUCUCCUAUUUGCUGAGUGAAAGAGAACAAUUCAACCACAAGAGCUGAUUUAGCUUCUUGGAGGUCAUAUGCUAACCUAAAUUUAGAUUGGUGAUGGCAUAGAAUACUUGAAAACUUCUACUUUGUAUUUUUAAAUAUGAACACUUAACAAGAAGCAUUAACAUUAUAAAACGAGAUUCUAAAAUAUCUGUACAAAGCAUGGAUAGUUCCCUAAAACAGCUCAAAUCAUCAGGAACACACCCUACUCAACUAAGAGAAGGAGAGUUGUCAUCAGAGUUAAGAAGGCCAUUAACGAAUACUCAGGGACUUCAAUUUACCCUGUAAAAUACAUUAUGAAUGUCAAUAAUUAAUAAUUGAUAAUGAUUAGUUUUCUGUUUUAAAAUCAAUGUGGGGUGCGGUGUCGGUGUCGGCAGCAUCCCGGUGCCCGGCUGCGAUUGCCGGGAGACUCAGCCUCUGUCUCCUCCCUGUCCCACCCUGGCCGCCCGCGCCAGUGUACUCCGAGCAGUUUGCCUCUGCUUGGCAGCGGAUAAAACCAGGGCUGACGAAAUACGGGAUAUGGUCACCCACUGCCAGCUCUAGCCUUUAAAUACCCGACUCGGGAACCUCCAGGCACUGCGGCUCGGGCCCUGACACCCAUCCAGCGUGCACCGGCGAGCUCCGAAACCGACGUCCCCCGACGCCCCCGAACUCCACUUGGCAGCCUCAGCCCCUGGAAAGUGAUCUCGGCAUCUGAGAGCCAAGAUGCCAGCCCACUUGCUGCAGGAGGAGAUCUCUAGCUCCUAUACCACCACCACCACCACCAUCACAGCGCCUCCCUCCAGGGUCCCGCAGAAUGGAGGAUAUAAGUUGGAGAAGACGCCCCUCUAUUUGGAAGAAGACAUUCGUCCUGAUAUAAAAGAUGAUAUAUAUGACCCCACCUACAAGGAUAAGGAAGGCCCAAGGCCCAAGGUUGAAUAUGUCUGGAGAAACAUCAUCCUGAUGUCUCUGCAACACUUGGGCGCCCUGUAUGGGAUCAUUUUGAUUCCUAUCUGCAAGUUCUACACCUGGCUUUGGGGAUUAUUCUACUAUUUUGUCAGUGCCCUGGGCAUAACAGCAGGAGUUCAUCGCCUGUGGAGCCACCGAACUUAAAAAGCUCGGCCGCCCCUUCGGGUCUUUCUGAUCGUUGCCAACACAAUGGCAUUCCAGAAUGAUGUCUUUUGAAUGGGCUUGUGACCACCAUGCCCACCACAAGUUUUCAGAAACAGAUGCUGAUCCUAAUUCCCGACGUGGCUUUUUCUUCUCUCACGUGGGCUGGCUGCUUGUGCGCAAACACCCAGCUGUCAAAGAGAAGGGCCUUAUGCUGGACUUGUCUGACCUAAAAGCUGAGAAACUGGUGAUGUUCCAGAGGAGGUUCUACAAACCCGGCGUGGUGCUGAUGUGCUUCAUCCUGCCCACACUUGUGCCCUUUUAUUUCUGGGGUGAAACUUUUCAACACAGCUUGUAUGUUGCCACUUUCUUGCUAUAUGCUGUAGUGCUUAAUGCCACCUGGCUAGUGAACAGUGCUGCCUACCUCUACAGAUAUCGUCCUUAUGACAAGAACAUUAGCCCCUGGGAGAAUGUCCUGGUUUCGCUUGGAGCUGUGGGUGAGGGCUUCCACAACUACCACCACUCCUUUCCCUAUGACUACUCUGCCAGUGAGUACCGCUGGCACAUCAACUUAACCACAUUCUUCAUUGAUUGCGUGGCUGCCCUCAGUCUGGCCUAUGACCGGAAGAAAGUCUCCAAGGCCACCAUCUUGGCCAGGAUUAAAAGAACUGGAGAUGGAAGCUACAAGAGUGGCUGAGUUUGGGGUCCCUCAGGUUCUUUUUCAAAGUCAGCCAGGCAGAGGUUUUAUGCCUGUUUAUUAACUACUGAAUAAUGCUACCAGGACGCUAAAGAUGAUGACGUUAACUCGUUCCAGUACAGUAUUCUUUUAAAAUGCGAAAUUAUUGAAAGCCAA
Molecule: non-coding RNA, 3225 nt
Organism: Callithrix jacchus (white-tufted-ear marmoset)
Lineage: Eukaryota; Metazoa; Chordata; Mammalia; Primates; Cebidae
Source: RefSeq, a predicted model, not a curated record